AGGAUGAACGCUGGCGGCGUGCCUAAUACAUGCAAGUCGAACGAGGUGCUUUUGUAGCAAUACGAGAGUAUCCUAGUGGCGAACGGGUGAGUAACGCGUUGGUGACCUACCCCAAAGUGUGGGAUAACAGUCCGAAAGGAUUGCUAAUACCGCAUGUGGUUAUUGGAUUUAGAAACCGGUAACUAAAGGAGCAAUUCGCUUUGGGAGGGACCUGCGUCCCAUCAGCUAGUUGGUGAGGUAAUGGCUCACCAAGGCUACGACGGGUAGGGGACCUGAGAGGGUGACCCCCCACAAUGGAACUGAAACACGGUCCAUACACCUACGGGUGGCAGCAGUAGGGAAUAUUGCACAAUGGGCGAAAGCCUGAUGCAGCAACGCCGCGUGUGUGAUGAAGGCCUUCGGGUCGUAAAGCACUUUUCUGGGAGAUGAGAAAGGACAGUAUCCCAGGAAUAAGUCUCGGCUAACUACGUGCCAGCAGCCGC
Molecule: ribosomal RNA, 482 nt
Filed under: uncultured bacterium
Lineage: Bacteria
Description: SSU rRNA
Rfam family: Bacterial small subunit ribosomal RNA
Source: RNAcentral